CUCACCUUGGAAAUAGAUAUAAUAAAAUUGGAAUGGUACAGAGAAGAUUAAUAUAUCCUCUGUGCCAACGCACACAUAAAUUUGCAACACAUUGCAUAUUUUU
Small nuclear RNA from Suricata suricatta (meerkat), 103 nucleotides. The record is from Ensembl. Lineage: Eukaryota; Metazoa; Chordata; Mammalia; Carnivora; Herpestidae.